GUAAGGAAUAUUGGACAAUGGACGCAAGUCUGAUCCAGCCAUGCCGCGUGAAGGAUUAAGGUCCUCUGGAUUGUAAACUUCUUUUAUAAGGGACGAAAAAAGGCUUUUCUAAGUCGUCUGACGGUACCUUAUGAAUAAGCACCGGCUAACUCCGUGCCAGCAGCCGCGGUAAUACGGAGGGUGCAAGCGUUAUCCGGAUUCACUGGGUUUAAAGGGUGCGUAGGCGGGCAGGUAAGUCAGUGGUGAAAUCCUAGAGCUUAACUCUAGAACUGCCAUUGAUACUAUCUGUCUUGAAUAUUGUGGAGGUAAGCGGAAUAUGUCAUGUAGCGGUGAAAUGCUUAGAUAUGACAUAGAACACCUAUUGCGAAGGCAGCUUACUACGCAUAUAUUGACGCUGAGGCACGAAAGCGUGGGGAGCAAACAGGAUUAGAUACCCGAGUAGUCC
This 445-nucleotide ribosomal RNA is filed under the name uncultured bacterium. Its description in RNAcentral is "partial 16S ribosomal RNA". It matches the Rfam family "Bacterial small subunit ribosomal RNA", at positions 354 to 796 of the family's 1533-position model. The record is from RNAcentral.